RNAcentral lists this transfer RNA (85 nucleotides) under Felis catus (domestic cat). It matches the Rfam family "tRNA". From Rfam's summary of the family: Transfer RNA (tRNA) molecules are approximately 80 nucleotides in length. Their secondary structure includes four short double-helical elements and three loops (D, anti-codon, and T loops). The record is from Rfam by way of RNAcentral. Lineage: Eukaryota; Metazoa; Chordata; Mammalia; Carnivora; Felidae.
GCCUGGAUGGCUUAGUUGGUUGAGCGUCCGACUUCAGCUCGGGUCAUGAUCUCACAGCUUGUGGGUUUGAGCCCCGCAUCAGGCU